GUUGCAAUGCCUCUACAAGUCCAGUAUGAUAAUGGCGAUUCAAAUUCAGUCUUCUGCUGGCUUGAGAGAUGGACAUCCUCCUAUACCUGGAAACCACUUCCGCAACCAAAAAAAGGUAGUGAUUCAAAGUCUCGCACAAAGAGGGGAAGUUAUGCAAUGGAGAUGGAGACAAGUAAACCGAAGCGCAUGGUUAGGAGGAACUCAUCUGGAGGCGUCGAAUCUGGUCCAACCAUUAUUACCUCUGAGCCUGAAAAGCCCAAGCGCAACACACGGAAAACUUCUAGCACUCCUACUGAAUUACCGCAGGAACAUCCACAAACUGAGCUUGAAAAGGUUAAGCGUAGUUUGAGAAAGGUAUCAAGUUUGAUGGCAGAAGC
Molecule: unclassified non-coding RNA, 377 nt
Filed under: Hevea brasiliensis (rubber tree)
Lineage: Eukaryota; Viridiplantae; Streptophyta; Magnoliopsida; Malpighiales; Euphorbiaceae
Source: RNAcentral